GUGCUUGCAGGUGCAGCACCAUCAAGAUUCACAUGGUCCAACUCAUGCAUCUUCAGUGAUGCUCAUGUGAUGGCUCGCAGUUGCUAUAUAUGCAUAUGUGAUGAGAUGAGAAUCUUGAUGAUGCUGCAUCAGCAGACAC
Molecule: microRNA precursor, 139 nt
Organism: Sorghum bicolor (sorghum)
Lineage: Eukaryota; Viridiplantae; Streptophyta; Magnoliopsida; Poales; Poaceae
Rfam family: mir-172 microRNA precursor family
About the family: mir-172 has been experimentally verified in Arabidopsis thaliana. This family is thought to target mRNAs coding for APETALA2-like transcription factors. The mature sequence is excised from the 3' arm of the hairpin.
Source: Rfam